UGGGGGAAUAUUGCACAAUGGGCGAAAGCCUGAUGCAGCAACGCCGCGUGAGUGAUGAAGGUCUUCGGAUUGUAAAGCUCUGUCUUUUGGGACGAUAAUGACGGUACCAAAGGAGGAAGCCACGGCUAACUACGUGCCAGCAGCCGCGGUAAUACGUAGGUGGCGAGCGUUGCCCGGAUUUACUGGGCGUAAAGGGUGCGUAGGCGGAUGUUUAAGUGAGAUGUGAAAUACCCGGGCUUAACUUGGGUGCUGCAUUUCAAACUGGAUAUCUAGAGUGCAGGAGAGGAGAAUGGAAUUCCUAGUGUAGCGGUGAAAUGCGUAGAGAUUAGGAAGAACACCAGUGGCGAAGGCGAUUCUCUGGACUGUAACUGACGCUGAGGCACGAAAGCGUGGGUAGCAAACAGGAUUAGAUACCCUGGUAGUCCACGCCGUAAACGAUGAGUACUAGGUGUAGGAGGUAUCGACCCCUUCUGUGCCGCAGUAAACACAUUAAGUACUCCGCCUGGGAAGUACGAUCGCAAGAUUAAAACUCUAAAGUGAAUUGAC
RNAcentral lists this ribosomal RNA (546 nucleotides) under uncultured bacterium. RNAcentral describes it as "partial 16S ribosomal RNA". It matches the Rfam family "Bacterial small subunit ribosomal RNA", at positions 354 to 914 of the family's 1533-position model. The record is from RNAcentral.